RNAcentral lists this long non-coding RNA (382 nucleotides) under Ricinus communis (castor bean). RNAcentral's name for it is "long non-coding RNA (RCOM_LNC003694)". Lineage: Eukaryota; Viridiplantae; Streptophyta; Magnoliopsida; Malpighiales; Euphorbiaceae. The record is from RNAcentral.
UGGAGUAGAAUGAUUCCACUUGUCUUUGGAGUCUUGUGGAGAUGCUUCACAUGCUUUGGAGUCUUUUGAUAAUGCCAACCGUCUUUUGAGAAAGUUGUCGGCCAUGCUUUGAAGGAAUCUUUUACUUUUUUGACUUUUUCUUUUCUUUUCUUUUCUUUUUCUUUUUCUUUUUUCUUUUUCUUUUCUUUUUCUGGGCUUUAGUGUGGGCUUUUUGGCCCAACACAAAUAACCUUGGGCUACCAUUUCUGGUUUUCAACCAAUGGGCUUAUAAAGAAGGAGAUAAUAUUUAUGAGACUUUGAGUAUCCCAUAACAAUCGUCUCCCGCUGGAUCAUCCAAAUCGAAUGCAGCAGUACUAGCACUGGAAGAGGAUGAUGAUGAGGC